RNAcentral lists this ribosomal RNA (253 nucleotides) under uncultured bacterium. RNAcentral's name for it is "partial 16S ribosomal RNA". It matches the Rfam family "Bacterial small subunit ribosomal RNA", at positions 524 to 776 of the family's 1533-position model. The record is from RNAcentral.
UACAGAGGGGGCGAGCGUUGUUCGGAAUUACUGGGCGUAAAGGGCGCGUAGGCGGCCUUUUAAGUCGAACGUGAAAUCCCCGGGCUCAACCCGGGAACUGCGUCCGAUACUGGGAGGCUUGAAUCCGGGAGAGGGAUGUGGAAUUCCUGGUGUAGCGGUGGAAUGCGCAGAUAUCAGGAGGAACACCGAUGGCGAAGGCAGGUCACUGGGCCGCAACUGACGCUGAGGAGCGAAAGCAUGGGGAGCGAACAGG